Molecule: unclassified non-coding RNA, 3291 nt
Filed under: Haliotis rufescens (red abalone)
Lineage: Eukaryota; Metazoa; Mollusca; Gastropoda; Lepetellida; Haliotidae
Description: alpha-L-fucosidase-like, transcript variant X1
Source: RNAcentral
GUGACUCGAUCUGUCAUGUGAUCGGUCGAUUUCAAAAUGGCGAUCAUCUCUGCAGUUGCUGGAUUGUUGUGCUUGUUUACUGUAUUUACACUGGGCGAGUGUCGAUACGAGCCGAACUGGCAGUCCAUAGACUCGAGGCCCCUGCCAAGCUGGUAUGAUGAGAGUAAGAUCGGUAUCUUUAUUCACUGGGGAGUGUUUUCCGUGCCCAGUUACGUGGACGAGUGGUUCUGGUAUUACUGGAAGGGCCCCACACCAGUCAAGAGCGUCGUCAAGUUUAUGGAAGACAACUACCGGCCAGGUUUUACGUAUGCAGACUUUGCACCACAUUUCACAGCCGAGUUCUUCAGCCCCUAUCGAUGGGCAGACAUUUUCCAAGCGUCAGGAGCACGCUACGUGGUGUUUGUGAGCAAGCACCAUGAAGGCUUCACCAACUGGCCUUCCAAGGCAUCCUUCAACUGGAACUCGAUGGAUGUGGGUCCCCGAAGGGAUAUUGUAGGGGAGUUAACUAAUGCAAUCCGCAACAGCACUGACUUGAGGAUGGGCGUCUAUCACUCGCUGUUUGAGUGGUUCAAUCCUCUCUUCAAUGCUGAUAAAGCCAACAAGUUCAAGACACAGGACUUUGUCACGCACAAGACAGGACCCGAAUUGUACGAGCUGGUCAACAAAUACAAACCUGACAUUAUCUGGUCUGAUGGAUGUCCGGCAAACAGCUCUUACUGGAACUCCACACAGUUCUUGGCCUGGCUCUACAAUGACAGCCCAGUGAAGGACACCGUGGUGACCAAUGACCGAUGGGGGUCGGACACGGGCUGCAAACAUGGCGGCUUCUUCACCUGCUCUGACCGCUACAACCCAGGAUUCCUCCAGAAACACAAGUGGGAGAACUGCCUGACGCUGGACAAAAAGUCGUGGGGCUACCGUCGCGAGGCCGUGCUGGCCGACUACAUGACCAUGAAGGAGCUCACUAAGACACUGGCAGAGACAAUCAGCUGUGGGGGCAACAUGCUCAUCAAUGUGGGCCCCACACACGACGGACGGAUUGUCCCGGUCUUCGAGGAACGUCUGAGGCAGCUGGGGGCGUGGCUGAAAGUGAAUGGGGAAGCUGUGUACUCCUCCAAGCCAUGGUCCCACCAGAACGAUACAGUCACACCCAACGUGUGGUACACGAUGAAGAAGUCGACAUCCGCCCCCUUUCAGACGUCCAUCUAUGCCUUCGUGCUUGACUGGCCUAAGGGAAGCAUCCUUGGUCUUGAUGCUCCGAGGGUCACCAAGCAGACCAAUGUCACGUUGCUAGGCUACCCAAAACCUUUGACCUACAUGCCUAACCCCACAGGGUCAGGGGUCAUGAUUGACAUUCCUGAGAUUGGAUUUAAUGAGAUGCCGUGUGACUAUGCCUGGAUCUUCAAAAUGACGAACCUGGCUAACUGAUGGACCUUGCUAACUAGUUAAUUGUUUGACAACAUAUCUAUCUGUAACCAGCAGAGGGCACCUCUUUAUCAAUGAGGAGUCAAUUCUUUAUUAAUAAGGGGUUUAUUCUUCAUCAGUAAGGGGCACAUGUAACCUGGUUGUUUUGAGGUAGUUCGCUGUCUGGACUUCUAUGAACUUCGGUUCAAAUCCCAGAUUUGCUCUGAUUAACAUUCUAGGUUUGUCUACACAUGAGUUUCACCAAAGUGGAAAUCUUUAAGCACCAGCAUCACAUUAUAUCUCACUUUAAACUGACACACAGGGAUAGAAUUAGAAUACUAUUCAAACCGGCAUUUAUCCAAACUCUAUCCUAUUGUUGAGAUGAGAUGCAUGAGAUCUUAUUGCUCUCUGCUACUGUGCAUAGAUCUGAGGACAUCCUAUUACAGGUCACGUCAGAAUGACCUUUCAUCCGACCAAUCAGAGUGUUGCUACGGUAUUGUAAACGUGAAAGUCUGAAUACAUUUCAUAAUCAUGCAAACGGUUAACAGGGGUUUUCCCAAUAACAGUUAAUGGUUGUCCAGCUGAUUCUGUCAAAGUCAUCGUCUAUCUCUUCCUUCAAAGGGAUAAACAUUUGAAACAGAAACUAUUGUAAUGCAAUCUCACCUUUCCAUCAUACAUUCCCAAAUUUUGUUUGUUCAUUUUGCAAAUUUUAAAUCAAGAAUGGUAUCAAACUACUUUUCAUUCCUUGACUGAAAUGAAAGUCUCCACUUUGAAACUGGUACCGUUAUCCUUGAGAAAGCGGCUUUCUGAUUGGCUUAUUGUGAGUUCCUGGUAAUCUUGUCAUUGGUCGCUCAAAGUUUGUGAAGGGUUGUUCUGAUGUGAGUUGUCAUGGGAGAUGGUCAGAUCUUUUUAUGAGAUUGUGAUUUUACUGUUAGCUCCUGUGCGUGAUGGUAAACAAUUUGACCAUAAAUGAUUCUUUGUUUCUGGGUCUAAUGGGUGUUCCACUCAGGUAUUUCAUCAUCAUGCUUUUCUAGGAAGCUUGUUGGUCAUAAUAUACUUUUAUUUUAUUUUCAUCAAAUCAAACUAUAUUUGUCACACAUGCCAACUUAGAACUGCUAGUUUUGAAACGUUCUAUGCCAUGAUCCAGAUUUAUACAUAAGAAUGAAUAUUUCUGACAGGUGAAAUACUUGAAGGUCCUGAUAUCAUUGCAGUAAACUACGUUUAAAACGAACAUGAUAAUAAGGGACUGACGGAUAUAACGAACUGUCCUUUGUGGUCACAGCAACUUGCUGUAUAUAUAGUGUAUACACCAUUAAUACUAACAACUAUAACGAACUAGAAUUAGAGCUCCCUUUGAGUUCGAUAUAUCCGUAGUUUUCUGUAUUCCAAAUUUAUUAUUUUGCUUGUGGCUCUACACAGGCACUCAGUGUUAUUUAUACGCGAACUGAUUAGCAUGUUUCACCCACAUCUCCUUUUUAUGAGUUUUCAGAAUAGGGGCGCCUUUAGCUUACGUUCACUGGUGUAUAUCCAGAGACUGUGUAUCUGUGUCUGUGUAUAUGAACAUUGGUUUUUAACAUUUACAAUGCCUGUUUCAACUAAUUUUUACAAUUCCAUCAAAAAGUCUGCGCAAACUUCCUACAUGGUCGACGCGAAAAACUGACUGAUCUGUUUUUUAACCUGGUUAGAAAUGUCUGACAUACAGAAGGUUAGUCCAAAAUAUAUGUUGCCAGCAUUUGAUUAUACUCAUGUAAUAUAUUGACUGCUGAUGUUGGUUAUACUGGGAUGCUAUAUCUCGGGCGUCAUGAACGCCACACAUUCCGCUGCUGAGUACAGUUUUCUUACACAUAUUUUCAGAUCUUAUUUUGUGAUAAAAUGUUUUCAACUCAA